Molecule: non-coding RNA, 101 nt
Filed under: Paenibacillus sp.
Lineage: Bacteria; Bacillati; Bacillota; Bacilli; Caryophanales; Paenibacillaceae
Description: Glycine sequence
Rfam family: Glycine riboswitch aptamer
About the family: This family represents the bacterial glycine riboswitch. Glycine riboswitches usually consist of two metabolite-binding aptamers domains with similar structures in tandem.
Source: RNAcentral
AUGAAGGUAAUGGGAGAGAUUACUGUUUACCGGUGACGCCGAAGGAGUAAGCCCGCGUGAAAACGGGUGAAUCUCUCAGGCAAAAGGACCAUUAUCGGACG